RNAcentral lists this ribosomal RNA (492 nucleotides) under uncultured bacterium. RNAcentral describes it as "partial 16S ribosomal RNA". It matches the Rfam family "Bacterial small subunit ribosomal RNA", at positions 29 to 507 of the family's 1533-position model. The record is from RNAcentral.
AGUGAACGCUGGCGGUAGGCCUAACACAUGCAAGUCGAACGGCAGCACAGUAAGAGCUUGCUCUUACGGGUGGCGAGUGGCGGACGGGUGAGGAGUACAUCGGAAUCUACUUUUUCGUGGGGGAGAACGUAGGGAACCUUACGCUAAUACGGCAUACGACCUACGGGUGAAAGCAGGGGAUUUUCGGACCUUGCGCGUUUGAAUGAGCCGAUGCCGGAUUAGCUAGUUGGCGGGGUAAAGGCCCACCAAGGCGACGAUCCGUAGCUGGUCUGAGAGGAUGAUCAGCGACAUUGGAACUGAGACACGGUCCAGACUCCUACGGGAGGCAGCAGUGGGGAAUAUUGGACAAUGGGCGCAAGCCUGAUCCAGCCAUACCGCGUGGGUGAAGAAGGCCUUCGGGUUGUAAAGACCUUUUGUUGGGAAAGAAAAGCAGCAGGUUAAUACCCCGCUGUUCUGACGGUACCCAAAGAAUAAGCACCGGCUAACUUCGUG